RNAcentral lists this ribosomal RNA (222 nucleotides) under Acinetobacter baumannii. RNAcentral's name for it is "partial 23S ribosomal RNA". It matches the Rfam family "Bacterial large subunit ribosomal RNA", at positions 643 to 867 of the family's 2925-position model. Lineage: Bacteria; Pseudomonadati; Pseudomonadota; Gammaproteobacteria; Moraxellales; Moraxellaceae. The record is from RNAcentral.
AGGUUAACCGUAUAGGGGAGCCGUAGAGAAAUCGAGUCUUAAUAGGGCGUUUAGUUGCUGGGUAUAGACCCGAAACCAGGCGAUCUAUCCAUGAGCAGGUUGAAGGUUGGGUAACACUAACUGGAGGACCGAACCCACUGUCGUUGAAAAGCCAGGGGAUGACUUGUGGAUAGGGGGGAAAGGCUAAUCAAGCCUGGUGAUAGCUGGUUCUCCCCGAAAGCU